UUUUUUUUUUGAGAACUAACAAUGUCUGCAUGCAUUCUCCAUUAUUUUCUUUUUGAUUCUCUCUCUGAAUCAUACUUUAAUGACAAACAAUAGAAAAACAAGAUUCUUGCAUUGUUUUCUUUUUGAUUCCCUCCCUGAAUCAUGCUUUAGUGACAAAUAAUAGAUAAAAGAUAAUCUCGCCUAAUAAAUUUAUUUUCUUUCACCUUCUUAAUUAAUUAG
This 219-nucleotide long non-coding RNA is filed under the name Elaeis guineensis (African oil palm). RNAcentral describes it as "long non-coding RNA (EGUI_LNC079389)". Lineage: Eukaryota; Viridiplantae; Streptophyta; Magnoliopsida; Arecales; Arecaceae. The record is from RNAcentral.